Long non-coding RNA from Quercus robur (English oak), 1571 nucleotides. RefSeq lists it as uncharacterized. The record is from RefSeq and is a predicted model, not a curated record. The transcript has 3 exons. NCBI's taxonomy places the organism in Eukaryota, Viridiplantae, Streptophyta, Magnoliopsida, Fagales, Fagaceae.
GACAGCCUGAUUUUCUCUUUGUCUAUCUCAUACUUUGUAUUAGAUUUUGUCCAUUAGUGCAUUUGUGUUUGAAUUGGCUUUGAUUUGCAUAUUUUAGCCAGAUUUAUCUUCAAAGAAACAAAUAUUUGCAUUCAAUUAAUUCUUAUACUGUAUUCAACUAACCUAUCAAACUGUUAUGUUCUCUUUUAAAAAUAAUUGUCACCAACCAUAUUGGGUUUUUUGAUUUGUUCUAAUUGCAUAAGCUGCUUGCGAUUCUCUUUCAUUAGUUUAUAGCAUUAAAAGCUCCACAACAGGAGAUUUAUCUGUAUGGGAACAAAAGAAGACAAAUCAAAUGAGUAUUCAAAAAAUUAAACAAAUCAAUUCUACUCGUCUUUCUUUUUCUUAUGAAAGAUACAUAAUUAGUCAUAGAGCGAAAGAUUUAAUAUAGUUCCUAGAGUUGUGUAUCAGUGUAUGUUUCUAUGAAAACCUUUCAUUUUAUAUAUUGGAAUUUGACACUGCUGUGCUGUUUUCAUUUCGGUGUGAGUGUUGGUUUGUGGUGUGAUGACAAAGUGAGAGGGAGUGUGAAUUUGAGCCACCACAGGAAUAUAGGACCAACACAGAAGAUCAGCCUCAAGCCAAAUGGUCGACCUGUCAAGGUUGGAUUCUUCUUCGCAGAACUCUCAGAUAUUGAUAUGGAGAACUUGAAGGCAGAUGUAUUUCAUUUAUUAGAAAUUGAUAUUUUAACAUUUAUUAGAUGUUUGAGAUGUUAAGGAUUGGAAUCCUAUUUUAAUUUAAAUUUAAUUUGAUUGAUAUUUUACAUUUACUAAUGUAAUGUUUCCUAUGAAGGAUAGGAAUUCCUAAGAUUGAAAUCCUAAUGUACAAUUAAAGAGAAAGAAACAAAGAAUUGUUUAAAUCUUCAUACACAGAGAUAUAGUCUGGAAAGCAUAGAGAGAUAGGUUGCAUACCCAUUACCCCAUAAUUGGUGAAGUUAUUGUUUUUGUUAUUGUCUUUUUUUUCUUUUUCGUUUUCAAAUUUGGGGAUUGAAUAUGAUUUGGGUUUGAAUUUCUUGGUUGGAUUGGUUUAGAUUCAGAUUUAGUUAUUUGAGUUAGAUUUGGUUUUGACUGACCGUUUAUGAAAUUCAUUGGGAUUAGUAUUUGUUUUUCUUUUGAAAACUGAGACUGCUAAGUUUUUUAUAUUGAAAGCACUGAUCAGCUUUGCAAUGCCUAAGAUAGUAAAUAUAUAGCCUAUUUUGUGGUGCUACUCAUUUUAGUGAUUUUAGGCAUUCUUUGUUAGAAAGGUUGUUUUAGAUAAUGGCAAAUCAGGCAAAGUUUGAUAGAAUUCCUAAAUGUGUCCGUAUGGCAUGAUCUAUUUUUCCACAUAAAUUAGUUCCUAAAUCCGUACUAGAGCUUUCUAUCUCCAGUCCCCUAAACUUUUAAAUUUUAAGUUUGGAAAGAUUCUCCCCCUUGCUAAUUUUUAUAGGUUAUUUAUAGUGUACAAUGCCAGUUUUACUGUUAACAUGGUCUUACAUUUCAAAUGUCUUAUUGACGUGAUUUGAAAUCAAAUACCUAAUACUAUAUAUAAAAGCAGAUGUU